UGAUGCAGUUUCAGUACGUGUAUGCAGUUUCAGUCUAUUGUUGCACUAGACACUUCCCUGUUAGUCCAUUUUAUUUUAUUAUGCACAAAGUGGAAGAAGAAAAUUCUGGUGUUGAACUACAUCCAUCCUGAUCCUUUCUUUGUUUUCUCUAAACCACAAAUGCCACAUGAAGAACUAAGGAUAUCAAGAAGCUUUUGGAUGUAUGCAAGCUUGGAGCUGCUGUUUUGUAGAAAUGGCAUUUGAAGAAUAACCAAGGAUAUCAAGAAGCUUUUGGAUGUAGGCAAGCUUGGAGCUGCUGUUUCAAUGUCAUGCUUUGAUGGUUGUCUUUUGAGCUGUUGUUUCUAUGUGUAAUCCUUUAAGUCUGUUGGCUGUACCGGACUAUUUAAACUCUGAACUAUGCUGUGAUGCUUGAACUGUUGUUGGACUGUUAAGGGUUAUGAUGGAGGCCACUUUAUAACUAAUGUGUGCCUGUUAAGUUGGACAGAUGCAGUUUUAUUAAUCCCUAGAGCUUAUUUGCUGAAGUUUAUAUGAUCAA
Molecule: long non-coding RNA, 535 nt
Organism: Triticum aestivum (bread wheat)
Lineage: Eukaryota; Viridiplantae; Streptophyta; Magnoliopsida; Poales; Poaceae
Exons: 2
Source: RefSeq, a predicted model, not a curated record